This 463-nucleotide ribosomal RNA is filed under the name uncultured bacterium. RNAcentral's name for it is "partial 16S ribosomal RNA". It matches the Rfam family "Bacterial small subunit ribosomal RNA", at positions 28 to 507 of the family's 1533-position model. The record is from RNAcentral.
GACGAAUGCUGGCGGCGUGCUUAACACAUGCAAGUCGAACGGAAAGGCCCUGCUUGCAGGGUACUCGAGUGGCGAACGGGUGAGUAACACGUGGGUGAUCUGCCCUGCACUUCGGGAUAAGCCUGGGAAACUGGGUCUAAUACCGGAUAGGAGCCAUUUUUAGUGUGAUGGUUGGAAAGUUUUUUCGGUGUAGGAUGAGCUCGCGGCCUAUCAGCUUGUUGGUGGGGUAUGGCCUACCAAGGCGGCGACGGGUAGCCGGCCUGAGAGGGUGGACGGCCACAUUGGGACUGAGAUACGGCCCAGACUCCUACGGGAGGCAGCAGUGGGGAAUAUUGCACAAUGGGCGCAAGCCUGAUGCAGCGACGCCGCGUGGGGGAUGACGGCCUUCGGGUUGUAAACUCCUUUCGCUAGGGACGAAGCUUUUGUGACGGUACCUAGAGAAGAAGCACCGGCUAACUACGUG